RNAcentral lists this ribosomal RNA (493 nucleotides) under uncultured bacterium. Its description in RNAcentral is "partial 16S ribosomal RNA". It matches the Rfam family "Bacterial small subunit ribosomal RNA", at positions 27 to 507 of the family's 1533-position model. The record is from RNAcentral.
GAGUGAACGCUGGCGGUAGGCCUAACCCAUGCAAGUCGAACGGCAGCACAGUAAGAGCUUGCUCUUACGGGUGGCGAGUGGCGGACGGGUGAGGAAUACAUCGGAAUCUACUUUUUCGUGGGGGAUAACGUAGGGAAACUUACGCUAAUACCGCAUACGACCUACGGGUGAAAGCAGGGGAUCUUCGGACCUUGCGCGAUUGAAUGAGCCGAUGUCGGAUUAGCUAGUUGGCGGGGUAAAGGCCCACCAAGGCGACGAUCCGUAGCUGGUCUGAGAGGAUGAUCAGCCACACUGGAACUGAGACACGGUCCAGACUCCUACGGGAGGCAGCAGUGGGGAAUAUUGGACAAUGGGCGCAAGCCUGAUCCAGCCAUACCGCGUGGGUGAAGAAGGCCUUCGGGUUGUAAAGCCCUUUUGUUGGGAAAGAAAAGCAGCAGGUUAAUACCCCGCUGUUCUGACGGUACCCAAAGAAUAAGCACCGGCUAACUUCAUG